This 93-nucleotide transfer RNA is filed under the name Schistosoma mansoni. The stretch from base 8 to 80 matches the Rfam family "tRNA". From Rfam's summary of the family: Transfer RNA (tRNA) molecules are approximately 80 nucleotides in length. Their secondary structure includes four short double-helical elements and three loops (D, anti-codon, and T loops). The record is from RNAcentral. Lineage: Eukaryota; Metazoa; Platyhelminthes; Trematoda; Strigeidida; Schistosomatidae.
GUUCGUGGGCUCCGUGGCCUAAUGGAUAAGGCAUCUGACUUCGGAUCAGAAGAUUGCGGGUUCGAGUCCCGUCGGGGUCGGCUUCUAGUCCCA